GAGGGUAUAGCUCAAGUGGUAGAGUGCAUGCUUAGCAUGCAUGAGGUCCUGGGUUCAAUCCCCAGUAUCUCCA
RNAcentral lists this transfer RNA (73 nucleotides) under Camelus bactrianus (Bactrian camel). It matches the Rfam family "tRNA". Rfam says of the family: Transfer RNA (tRNA) molecules are approximately 80 nucleotides in length. Their secondary structure includes four short double-helical elements and three loops (D, anti-codon, and T loops). The record is from Rfam by way of RNAcentral. Lineage: Eukaryota; Metazoa; Chordata; Mammalia; Artiodactyla; Camelidae. RNAcentral also lists the same sequence under 2 other names.